This 161-nucleotide ribosomal RNA is filed under the name uncultured bacterium. RNAcentral describes it as "partial 16S rRNA". It matches the Rfam family "Bacterial small subunit ribosomal RNA", at positions 358 to 511 of the family's 1533-position model. The record is from RNAcentral.
GGAAUCUUCCACAAUGGACGAAAGUCUGAUGGAGCAACGCCGCGUGAGUGAAGAAGGGUUUCGGCUCGUAAAACUCUGUUGUUAAAGAAGAACAUAUCUGAGAGUAACUGUUCAGGUAUUGACGGUAUUUAACCAGAAAGCCACGGCUAACUCCGUGCCAG